Gasterosteus aculeatus aculeatus (three-spined stickleback) is the source of this 8873-nucleotide long non-coding RNA. NCBI's taxonomy places the organism in Eukaryota, Metazoa, Chordata, Actinopteri, Perciformes, Gasterosteidae. The record is from Ensembl.
ACAGCGUCAUGGCGUUUUGUCGGCAAAGAUGGAAUAUUUCAACUUUCGCGUUUGCUGCGUUUGACGCGACUUUGCCCAAACUCGACGUGCUGAAUUCACCCACCAACGCAGUAAAACUUUGGUUACUCCCGACAAAAUCUCCCUCCUUUCUACACACACACAACUACACACGCUGCUGCAUUCAAACAAACACUCAUGUCUUUCUGUGUGAGAAAUAACAACUUCUCCUCACAGAAGAUACAUUCUGGUCUCUUUCUUCACAAGCCGAGUGAUUACUUCCUUCUGUGCUUUGGUUUCUGUUUUAUGAUACUUGCACAGACAGACACACAAAUACACACACCUGAGGGGCGAAUCAAUGAGCAACAUGAUGUGUAAUUGGGGACUUUUUUCUCCCUCUGCAAAGCAGACUGAUUUGUUUUAAUUUAAUUUGGACUCUUUACGCUGAGAUAACAUUAAUGAAGUUUUUCUUCUUAACUUUAAACCACGGCGCUUCUGUCCCUGCUUUAUGUAGAGAUCUAUGAGCCAGGACUACCUGUCUGUCUGUCUGUCUCCCUUUCAGUCUCCCUGUUUCGGUCUACAUGUCUACCUAUCUGUUUACCUGUCUGUCGACCUACCCCCCUGUCACGGUUCAUGAAUCCAGCGCCCCCCCUUUUUUGGGGUUUUUGUUUUUUUAUGUGGGGGGGGGGGGGGGGUGAAGUGGGCGGAGUCAGCAGCCCAGCAUAAUCAACAGGGCAGCUGAUCACACUUUGCUGUAGCUGGUUUCGCUAUAAGACUCUCACGUGUCCCUCCUCUCACUGUCAGAUCGUUAUUUGAUGUCUCCCGUGUUCCUGGUCGCCGGAUCUCUGCCUCUGGGCUCAUCGUCAUCAUCGUCAUCAUCAUCAUCCUCCUCCUCCUCCCCGGGCUACGGGCUGACCACCCCGUCCAUGCGCCACCCACCACCAGGAGGAUCUCGGGCGCUUGGGGACUGCAAUUAUUGACUCUGACAUAAUAAACUCUGUUUUCACUCUCAUAUCUGCGUCCGCAUCUUUAGGAUCAUGACACUACCUGUAUGUCUACUUUUUAGUUUACCAGUCCACCUGUCUGUUUACCUGUCUCCCUGUAUGUCUACCUGUCCCACUACCAGUCCACCUGUCUGUUUACCUGUCUCCCUGUAUGUCUACCUGUCCCACUACCAGUCCACCUGUCUGUUUACCUGUCUCCCUGUAUGUCUACCUGUCCCACUACCAGUCCACCUGUCUGUUUACCUGUCUCCCUGUAUGUCUACCUGUCCCACUACCAGUCUACCUGUUGGUCUAUCCCACUUUCGGUUUACCGGUCUGCCUGUCUGCCUGUCUACUUUGUCAGUUAAGGGUAGUUUGAUUCAUGUCUGGUGGGGGUUGUUUUCUGUUCUUUUAACCACUUAAAGUGCUUUAAUAUGACAUGUUAUUAUUCACUCAUAAAGAUAUACAAACUAGAUUUAUGUAAACGUGUGCAACCUCUAAAAGAUAUAUGUAAAGAUUGAUAUAAUAGAAGGGCGAUAAGGCAGAUCAAAUCAAGAAGGGGCAGGCGGGGAAUCCGUGGUCAAAAGACAGGCGAGGUCAUAACAAAAGUAUAUUGAGCUCACUGGGAGAACGCUGGAUAACUUGGAAAACACACAGAAUCUGGUAGGGAAUCUGUGAGGGAAUCUGGUAGGAAACUGGCGAGUGGCUGAUGAGUGGAUGUGCUGCAGGUGAGAACCAGGUGUGCGUAAUGAGCUCAUAAUGUGGGAUGAUCUGAAAUGACAAGAGUAAGAAAACAUGCAGGUAAGAUGAAAAAAAAGUGCGAUCAACUUUGUGACAUAACGACAUACAACCUUACCGAUAUAUAACCUUUGUAGGUAUACAUAUGACAUUUGUAGGUAUAAAGAUAUAUAACCUCUAUAGAUAUACAGAUAUAUAACCUCUGUAGAUUUAAGCAAUAAGUUGCCUUUAUAAUACGGUACCAGCGAAAUUAUAAAUAUUAAGUAAAUAGUUGCCUUUUAGCACAAAAUAGUUGUAGCCACCAAACAUUGUGUAUCUCAUUUCAGUAGUCUACAGAAAAAUACUCCCUGUACGUGCAUGUAAACCGCAUUGGGUUCAUUCGAUGACGUCCACCUUAAUUGUCCGGUUGCAAAAGUUCGCAUUGCCUGAAACUGAUCAUUUGUGGGACUUUUUUCGGUCUUUUUUCUGCGAUCGGCACCGAGCUAAAAGCUAAAAUGUCAAUCAGUCGCGCGAAAGCUAACCUGUUACUUUGAGUGCGCAGUGAUGUGGAACGUUCGGUCAAUGUGAACAGGUACUGUACAUUAUCGCCCAAUUAUAGAGCCCCCAUGACUCACUCUCAACCAAUCAGAACACUGGAUUGCAUCUACCCGUGUUAUAGUAUACAGAUAUAUAACCUCUAUACAUAUAAAGAUAGGAAUAUUUUUUUAUACAAUAUAAUGCUAAAGGGAACAUUGCUGACUGAAAACAUGAAUCCUCAAAAGAACAUGAGCUGUUUUUGUUCUGCAACCAAAAGAAUUACACAUGAAACAAUUAAACCUGUUUCCUUUCAUCUGUGAAUGGUGAGGUCGAAAGGGCCUGGGGUGCGUCUGUUUGUGUGUAUGUAAAAGGGGGGGGGGCGGGGGUGUGUGUGUGCGCGCGGGGUGCGUGCAUGGGUGCGUGUGUGUGUGUGUAUGUGUGCGCGCGGGGUGCAUGCGUGUGUGUGUGCGCGCGGGGUGCGUGCAUGGGUGCGUGUGUGUGUGUGUGUGUGCGUGUGUGUGUGUGCGGGGUGGUGUGUGUGUGUGCGUGUGUGUGUGGGUGCGUGCGGGGUGGUGUGUGUGUGUGCGUGUGUGUGUGGGUGCGUGCAUGGGUGCGUGUGUGUGUGUGCGCGGGGGGUGUGCAUGUGUGUGCGUGUGUGCGUGCGUGUGUGUGCGCGGGGGGUGUGCAUGUGUGUGUGUGUGUGCGUGUGUGCGUGUGCGUGUGCGUGUGUGUGUGUGUGUGUGUGUGUGCGCGGGGUGCGUGUGUGAUUGAGCGAGCUUUAGUAAUAUACAAUUGAAUACCCUGACACCCGAUGGUCUUCAUCCUGAGGGCACAUCCUCCUCUCUCAAGAACGCUCUGUCUUCAUCACAGUCUGGUGAACAUCUUGUUGUUUUUGUCACAGUUUUCAGGACAUCCUGUUGUUGUAAUUACAGUCUUUUUGACAUCAUUUUGUCUUGUUAUGUCUGGCAGGAGGAAGCUGAAAACAGAAGAGUACAUCAUAAUGGUCCUCCUUUGAGUAAAUGUAAUUCAAUCCGGAGAGACUUGUUGAAAUUUGAAUAAUGCUUUAUUAUAACAGGUAUAAUAUGAUAUUGCAAGUUGUUUGGGGCUUGGACUCCAUCCUGCCGCAGAAUAGAGCCGGGGCCGGGAUCUCGAGCCGAGACGAGGCACAUCCCCCCCUUGGGAGUCCAGACACUGGUGGUGGUGGUAGAGCCCACGUUGCAUAAUUCUCCUGCUACGCCAGGUUCUGCUGUAGACUGGAGGUGUCCGGGGUGGUGGCGGGUGACCUUUGCCGGUGGUGGCGGGUCACCUUUGGGGGUGGUGGCGGGUCACCUUUGGCGGUGGUGACGGGUCACCUUUGGGGGUGGUGGCGGGUCACCUUUGGGGGUGGUGGCGGCUUCACCUUUGGGGGUGGUGGCGGGUCACCUUUGGCGGUGGUGACGGGUCACCUUUGGGGGUGGUGGCGGGUCACCUUUGGCGGUGGUGGCGGGUCACCUUUGGGGGUGGUGGCGGGUCACCUUUGGAGCGAGCUGAAAUGACAACUGACGGCACAAGAGAGGAGAACCGUUUUUUCGCCUAAGCUUCAUUUAGUUGCUUUCCCACUCUGUGCUUUACUGCUUUUAGUGACAGGUGUUUGUUAGAGUUUCCAGAUGCUUCUCCAGUACGGAGGUCCAGCUGUAAGAGAAGCAACGCUCUACUUCAUUAAAAAAAGACUCAAAUAAGGAAGAAGGAACAGAAGAGAGUUACCUGUGAAGACUCAGAUGUGACGAGAGAGGAAGAGGACGAUGAUGAGGAAGUCAUCUUCAGUCUCCAGAGUGACUUCAGCAGGAGCUUUCAACUCCUCGGGUGUCCUACAAAAGUGAGAUUAUUGUGACCUUCAGUAUUCACAACUGGAGAUCAAGUUGUCCAUGACAAACGUCUGUGGGUAAGAGCUAUUUAUAUCAUAGAAUCUUCCAACCCUUCAGAAGAACAAAGGAUCUCCUCCUGUUCUGCUUCAAACACAAAUAGAGAACAAAGAUCGGCAAACUUGGAUGUGUAUUCAUAAACACAGCAUUAAAAUAUAUUAACAUCACUUUGUUCUCGCUGUACUUUUCGGAGUCCCUCGGCUCCUUUAAAUCUAGAUUAAAGACUUCUGUUGGAUGCUGCUUUUAAUUUACUGUGUUUAGUAUUUUGGUACUUUUAAACUACACUGCAGAAUUUAUUCUAUUUUUAGUUUUUUAACGUUGUUUUUUGAAUGACUUUUUCUUUCAUGUUUCAAUCAUCGGACCAAGGACUCAUCUCUUUUCUUGUCUUACUGGACCUCAGUGCCACAUUUGACACAAUUGAUCGUUGUAUCCUGUUGCAGAGACUAGAACAUUUGACUGGUAUUAAACAAACCGCCCUCAGCUGGUUUUAGUCGUAUUUAUUGGAUCGAUCCAGUUGGUGUUUGUAAAUGGUCGAUCAGCGAUGACCACCAAUGUUGGUCACAGAGUCCCAGAAGGUUCUGGGCUUGGACCGAUUUAGUUUACCCUCUAUUUGCUUCCUUUGCUACCUUUGACCCGCUGACACAGGUGGGCGUGGCAGUCAGGAACACUUCUAUCAUGUUUACCUGCUUCUUUGCAUUCACUUUAGUUUUAAUCUUGCUUUAAACUUCUCUUCCCUUUAAGACGAGCCUAGAAACUAAAUGUAAAAUAACGUGAUGGGACAAAAAUGUGUAACAGUCUACUGAGCACGUAGCUGUUGUGACCCUUGUCUCCUAGCAAGGAAAUAAAUGGAGAAAGACAUUUGAUUCAGAAAUUAAUUAAUGUUAAUGUGUUAAUAAAAUGUUAAUAAAAUGUUACCCACAGAGAUUUUCCGAUUGUCUGUGCAAAUCUUCCAUCACAAACCAUGGUGAUGAACACAAUGUCAUGUAAUUGCAUGUAUUAUACAUUGUUCUGUACACAUGGCAUCCAUUGUAGUCUGUCCAUCAGGAGACGGAUCCCUCCUCUGACCUUCUCACUAAGGUUUCUACCCUUUUUUUCCCUCUUGGAAGGUUUUUUCAUUGUUUGGGGAGUUGUUCCUGUGCCGAUGGAGGGUUUCUGGACAGAGGAUGUUGUAUGUGUACAGACUGUAAAGCCCUCUGAGGCAAAUUUGUAAUUUGCGAUUUUGGUCUAUACAAAAUAAAAUUAAUUGAAUUAAAUGAAUUAAACGUCAAAGUUAUAAACACAAUAUCUUUGCUCUUUUCACAGGAGAUUGCCGGGUUUUCAAGAGAGUUAUUCGCCAUAUUUUAUAUCUGAUUAUUGACCAGUUUGCCAGUCUUCUUGUCCCUUGUUUGAGCACUCUGAGGUGAGUAAAAGAUUCAUUAGCUGCCGCGUUUAAACCAAAAGACCCCCUCUCGUGCGCUCAUAUUUACCAGCUGAAGGGCCAACCACGAAGGCAGCGUUUGUUGACUGAAGGAUGAACGUGAAUGUGAGUCUGUGAUUGUCUUUGUGUCCUCAGCUGAAGAGUUGCUCUGUAAUUUGUUUGCCUGCUGAAGAGUGUCAGCUGAAGUCUGGCGUCUUUAAAAGCUCAGCCUGACAAGUAAAUGGAUGAAAAUUGCCAGAGAAGAAGCUUGUUUGGGAUUUUGUUUUGAUUUCCCGCAGAAUGACAUUCCUUUUAGGAAAUGGCAGAGUGAUAAAUGAUUGUGGAUUCUGUUGGGUUGGGGCGACCCUGAUUUAGACCUGGGGUAUCUUUCUCUUUGCCGUAAUGUCCCCCAUUUACCCCUCACCGGAUGCACAAAUGGAUGUCGAUAUUCUUUGUGCCAUCAAAAGUCCAAACUUGUGCGCAAAUACCGUCCUGACUUUAUUAAGUACGGCUUCGUAAACGGAGGUAAUGAGGCGGAGCCGAGAGCCCAGUGUGUGGAGUGUGGACUAACGCUCUCCAACAAAGCAUUGAAGCCGUCAAAAUGAAUGUGCCACUUUGAAAGCAAACAUCCAACGCUUGUGGGAGUUCUGGUUCACAGCCAGGGCUGGCUCAGGUUCACAGUCAGGGCUGGCUCAGGUUCACAGUUAGGGCUGGCUCAGGUUCACAGUCAGGGCUGGCUCAGGUUCACAGUCAGGGCUGGCUGAGGUUCACAGUCAGGGCUGGCUCAAGUUCACAGUCAGGGCUGGCUCAAGUUCACAGUCAGGGCUGGCUCAAGUUCACAGUCAGGUCUCGCUGAGGUUCUCAGUCAGGGCUGGCUCAGGUUCACAGUCAGGUCUGGCUGAGGUUCUCAGUCAGGGCUGGCUCAAGUUCACAGUCAGGGCUGGCUGAGGUUCACAGUCAGGGCUGGCUCAGGUUCACAGUCAGGGCUGCCUCAGAUUCACAGUCAGGGCUGGCUGAGGUUCACAGUCAGGGCUGGCUCAGGUUCACAGUCAGGGCUGGCUCAGGUUCACAGUCAGGGCUGGCUGAGGUUCUCAGUCAGGGCUGGCUCAGGUUCACAGUCAGGUCUGGCUGAGGCUCUCAGUCAGGGCUGGCUCAGGUUCACAGUUGGCUCAGAUUUCUGCUGUUGUCUGCUUAGUAGUAGUGAACAGUCAGCUUGUUCUCUGACCACGUUGAUUUUUUUUAACCUUACUCAAACGCCUUCUCGUGAAGUGAAUAUUUUCUUCAUGCACGUCAUGUUCUGUUUACAGUAAAAUGAUCUGAUAGAUUAAAGUCUGAUGGUAAAAAGAUAAAGUAAUAAUCAUCUUAUAAUACAGAGGGAACAUUCUCCUUUAGUCACAGCUUCCCCUGGAGUAUCCGGUGGAUGUUCCUCCAAACAUGUUUAUUCAUAAGAGCCAGAUAUGUAUUUAUAUGCAUUUAUUUAGUGGACUGAAGCCAUAUUGGCAGAGCUCCCCAUUUCAAAGCUGUUUUGAUCACAUUUCUGUGUAAAUACUGAGAUUCAGCCUCUAUACGUGCUCAAGAAGAAAAAAUUACAGAAAUAUAAGUGUGUGUGUGUGUGUGUGGGCGAGCGAGCAACACUUUGUUUUGUCAUGUCGAGGGCUCUGCCUGAGAAGGAAAUUGGAAACAGCAUUCUUCUUUCAUCUCUCUGCCUCCCCACCAACUCAAACACACACACAUUCCCUCAAAAAUCACACAUCUUUUCCUCCAGCUAGUUGAUCCCACCUGAAAGCUCUCUGAUGCAAACACGUGAACCUCUGAACACACUGAUGAAUCCUGAAGCAGGCAGCAGAGGUGUGUGUGUGUGUGUGUGUGUGUGUGUGUGUGUGUGUGUCUCCUCCGUUCAUAAAAGCAGAUCUUGAGGUGAUAGAAAACAAACAAUGAAGACGUCUGAAAUGAAAGCAGGAAAACAAAAGAGGAUUUAAGAGAAUCUGAGUCUGCAGCUUUUAAUUCUUUUCUCUCUGGGUCACACACACACACACUUUCACUUUGAUGUAAUGAAAACUUGUUAGAAGACGUACUGUUUUACGUAACUACAUUAAAGCUGUUUAAACUUUACAGCCUUCGUGGACUUUUUAGAGGCAGUUUGAAUCACGUCGUUAUCGUGAAAACAUGUUUUUGAAGACACUACAACUUGUGUCUGCCUGGUUGGCACUUUCUGCUUUGCCCUCUGACCUUUCACUCCUCAACCAGUGACUCCCUACAUGAGAACUGGGAAAAUCGUUUUCGAUUAUCACUUAUUGUGUUACAUGUGUUCAAUGACACACUCUCUCUCUGAGUGGCGCUGAGAGCGAUGACGUUUUGCAGCUGGUCGGCGUGCUAAACGCCGCCAUGGACCCGGAGGUCCAGAGAAGACCUCCACUGGUCACAACUGAGACGGCAGGAAGGACAACCGAGGACAGUGGGGGUCCAGCAGGGGGUGAAAAAGGGACAGGUCGAGUCCAGGAGAGUGUGGUGAGUGAAUGCAGAGUCCAGCUGGUGGAGAGAGGGACUCUCAUUAUGUAUUGAUUCAUAUGCUCCUCGGUAUGUAUUGAUCUGCUGCCGCCUCACUGACAACAAAUUGGUUGUGAAAGUGAAAGUGAAAGAGGAAAAGGUCAAAUUGCUCUGUUUGUAAAAGGUCAAAGCUCACCUGUGACUGUUACACCUCCAGUUAGAGUAUCAGACUGAAGAAGUGCGCCCGAGAACAAUUGAAGGACCAUAAACUACAACAGAUUUACAGCGCCUUGCAUAAGUCAUUUCAUUGGGAUUUUAUGUAAUGGACCAACACAAAACAGUCCACCAUAUGGAUUUUACUAACAAACCCUGACAAAGAUCUGGGUCAACCAAUUGCCCUCACAGGUUUUCAAGUCACAUAAUUAUUAGAUUUGGUGCAACGUCUCAGGAUAAAUACACUACUGUAUUAGUGUGAUGCAUUACUGUGUAGUGUAGUCGGACAUGUAGUCCGACAGGAAGUCACCAUGUUCAUGUAGUCCGACAGGAAGUCACCAUGUUCAUGUAGUCCGACAGGAAGUCGCCGUGUUCAUGUAGUCCGACAGGAAGUCGCCGUGUUCAUGUAGUCCGACAGGAAGUCGCCGUGUUCAUGUAGUCCGACAGGAAGUCGCCGUGUUCAUGUAGUCCGACAGGAAGUCACCAUGUUCAUGUAGUCCGACAGGAAGUCACCAUGUUCAUGUAGUCCGACAGGAAGUCGCCAUGUUCAUGUAGUCCGACAGGAAGUCGCCGUGUUCAUGUAGUCCGACAGGAAGUCGCCGUGUUCAUGUAGUCCGACAGGAAGUCGCCGUGUUCAUGUAG